CGAGUUGAGAGGGGUAAGCCCUCGGCAUAUUGCUCAGUAACACGCGGAUAACCUGCCCUUGGGUUUGGGAUAACCCCGGGAAACUGGGACUAAUACCGGAUAGAUCAAAGAUACUGGAAUGUUCUUUGUUCGAAAGCUCCGGCGCCCAAGGAUGGGUCUGCGGCCUAUCAGGUAGUAGUGGGUGUAACGUACCUACUAGCCUACGACGGGUAAGGGUUGUGAGAGCAAGAGCCCUGAGAUGGAUUCUGAGACAUGAAUCCAGGCCCUACGGGGUGCAGCAGGCGCGAAAACUUUACACUGCGGGAAACCGCGAUAAGGGGACCCCGAGUGCCAGCACCUAGUGCUGGCUGUCCAGCUGUUCAAAUAACAGUUGUUAGCAAGGGCCGGGCAAGACCGGUGCCAGCCGCCGCGGUAACACCGGCGGCCCGAGUGGUAGCCGUUAUUAUUGGGUUUAAAGGGUCCGUAGCCGGCCUAUUAAGUCUCUUGGGAAAUCUGGCGACUCAAUCGUCAUGCGUUCAAGAGAUACUGGUAGGCUUGGGACCGGGAGAGGUGGGAGGUACUCCAGGGGUAGGGGUGAAAUCUCGUAAUCCUUGGGGGACCACCGAUGGCGAAGGCAUCCCACCAGAACGGGUCCGACGGUGAGGGACGAAAGCUGGGGGCACGAACCGGAUUAGAUACCCGGGUAGUCCCAGCCGUAAACGAUGCUCGCUAGGUGUCAGGUGCGGUGCGACCGCAUCUG
RNAcentral lists this ribosomal RNA (739 nucleotides) under uncultured archaeon. RNAcentral describes it as "bacterial SSU rRNA". It matches the Rfam family "Archaeal small subunit ribosomal RNA", at positions 54 to 797 of the family's 1478-position model. The record is from RNAcentral.